Molecule: ribosomal RNA, 2129 nt
Filed under: Nephila pilipes (giant wood spider)
Lineage: Eukaryota; Metazoa; Arthropoda; Arachnida; Araneae; Nephilidae
Description: partial 28S ribosomal RNA
Rfam family: Eukaryotic large subunit ribosomal RNA
Source: RNAcentral
GCUACAGUAGCAGCGAGUGAACAGGGAGGAGCCCACCGCCGAAUCCUUGUCUCGUGCAGGGAAAUGUGGCGUUUGGGCGAGUCGGGAGUGUGGACCUAGCGUGUGCGUGAAAUCCCCACAAUCGGAGCAUUUUCCUCAGAGGGUGUGAGGCCCAUCCUCACGUGCCGUGGUUCUCUCUUGGUUCGCCCGCGAGUACGGUUGCUUGGGAGUGCAGCCCUAAGACGGGUGGUAAACUCCACCGAAGGCUAAAUGAGACCGAUAGCAAACAAGUACCGUGAGGGAAAGUUGAAAAGAACUUUGAAGGGAGUUCAAUAGAACGUGAAACUGCUCAGAGGGAAACGGGUGGGCCCUCGAAGUCCAGUGUCGCAGGCGUUCCGCCCCGGUGUCGUCCUCUUCCGCCGACGCGAGUGAAGGAGCGCCUCUCACGUGGGGGCACCGUCCUCGCCCCCAGGAGGUGGUUCGGCCCGGGUGCACUCGUCCCCUUCCAGAGGACGCCCCAUCCCGUUCGUUUUUUUUUGUGGGCCGUGAGGGCGGAUACUUGUAUGUGGACUCCGAAUGAGGAUGUUCCGAUCUCAUCCACCUGGGUCCACUGCGGACGGUGGCUUCCGACUCGUCGCCUCCUAUUUGGUUUCUUGGCGGUGCAGGUGGGUUCUUGGGUAGACGUGCGCACGCUCUCUGGGCGUAGCCGGUGGCUCGCCUCGCACGCGCCGCUUUUAAUUUUUUUUCUUUGGGGGUCGACGGUGUUGCGGCGCAGUAGGUCGGUGCCCUACCCGUCUUGAAACACGAACCAAGGAGUCUAAUAUGUGCGCGAGUCACCGGGUCUCCAAGAAGCCCACGGGCGCAAAGAACUUUAAUGUCGGGAUCCCCCACUUUCACGUGAGGGGCGCACCGAUGGCCUGCCACCGUCUCAGGACGUGAGGCGGAGCCUGAGCACACACGUUGGGACCCGAAAGAUGGUGAACUAUGCCUAGACAGGGGAAACCCUGUUGGAAGUCCGAAACGGUUCUGACGUGCAAAUCGAUCGUCUGAUCCGCGUAUAGGGGCGAAAGACUAAUCAAACCAUCUAGUAGCUGGUUCCCUCAGGAUAGCUGGCGCUCGAUCGAAAUUCAGUCACGAUCGGUAAAGCGAAUGAUUAGAGGCCUUGGGUCCGAAACAACCUCAACCUAUUCUCAUACUUUCAAUGGUCGUAGAGUCCUCCUUUCUCGACGUGAAGGUUGGACGGUGGAUGAGAGUGGCUAGUGGGCCACUUUUGGUAAGCAGAACUGGCGCUGUGGGAUGAACCAAAUGCCGGGUUAAGGCGCCCGAUGCAGAGACGCUUAUGAGACACCAUAAAAGGUGUUGGUUGCUCUAGACAGCAGGAUGGUGGCCAUGGAAGUCGGCAUCCACUAAGGAGUGUGUAACAACUCGCCUGCCACAGCAACUAGCCUUGAAAAUGGAUGGCGUUCCAGCGUGGAGCCCAUACCCGGCCGGUUCUCCAUAAGUUUUAUUUUUAUUGGAGAACGGAGUAGGAGGGUCGUGGUGGGGGCGUGGAAGGUCUUUGCGCGAGCCUGCCUGGAGCCUCCGCCGGUGCAGAUCUUGGUGGUAGUAGCAAAUACUCCAGUGAGGACUGAAGUUGGAGAAGGGUUCCAUGUCAACAGCGUUUGCACAUGGGUGAGUCGGUCCUUAGCCAACGGAGAGAUCCGUGCUAGGCGAGACUUUACGAGUCACGCUAUGGACGAAAGGUGAUCGGGUUAAGAUACCCGGACACGAAAUAAAUGAGACCUCGGUCUCUAGUGCGGUAACGCAAACGAACUCGGAGACGCCCGUGGAGGCACCAGGGAAGAGAUUGUUUCUUUUUUUCGUAAGAGGUGCGAAGUCCCUGGAAAGGUGUCAAGCCGAGAUAGGGACAGGCGGCCUCGAAAGAGCACCUUGUUUCACGUGUUGUGCGUGGGACCCCUUUACGGUCCCUUGCAAAUCCGAGGGAGAGUCUAUGAUUUUCGUGCCAGGCCGUACCUAUAUCCGCAUCAGGUCUCCCAGGUGAACAGCCUCUAGUCACUAGAACAAUGUAGAUAAGGGAAGUCGGCAAAUUCGAUCCGUAACUUCGGGAUUGGCUCUGGGGUGCCCGUUCGUCGGGCUGUGUCUCCGAAGCC